RNAcentral lists this ribosomal RNA (253 nucleotides) under uncultured bacterium. Its description in RNAcentral is "partial 16S ribosomal RNA". It matches the Rfam family "Bacterial small subunit ribosomal RNA", at positions 524 to 776 of the family's 1533-position model. The record is from RNAcentral.
UACGUAGGGACCAAGCGUUGUUCGGAUUUACUGGGCGUAAAGGGCGCGUAGGCGGCAAUUCAAGUCAGCUGUGAAAUCUCCGGGCUUAACUCGGAACGGUCAGCUGAUACUGCUUUGCUAGAGUGCAGAAGGGGCAAUCGGAAUUCUUGGUGUAGUGGUGAAAUGCGUAGAUAUCAAGAGGAACACCUGAGGUGAAGACGGGUUGCUGGGCUGACACUGACGCUGAGGCGCGAAAGCUAGGGUAGCAAACGGG